Molecule: ribosomal RNA, 446 nt
Filed under: uncultured bacterium
Lineage: Bacteria
Description: partial 16S ribosomal RNA
Rfam family: Bacterial small subunit ribosomal RNA
Source: RNAcentral
CCUACGGGGUGCAGCAGUCGAGAAUCAUUCACAAUGGGGGAAACCCUGAUGGUGCGACGCCGCGUGGGGGAAUGAAGUUCUUCGGAUUGUAAACCCCUGUCAUGUGGGAGCAAAUUAAAAAGAUAGUACCCCAAGAGGAAGAGACGGCUAACUCUGUGCCAGCAGCCGCGGUAAUACAGAGUUCUCAAGCGUUGUUCGGAAUCACUGGGCGUAAAGCGUGCGUAGGCUGUUUCGUAAGUCGUGUGUGAAAGGCGCGGGCUCAACCCGCGGACGGCACAUGAUACUGCGAGACUAGAGUAAUGGAGGGGGAACCGGAAUUCUCGGUGUAGCAGUGAAAUGCGUAGAUAUCGAGAGGAACACUCGUGGCGAAGGCGGGUUCCUGGACAUUAACUGACGCUGAGGCACGAAGGCCAGGGGAGCGAAAGGGAUUAGAUACCCGGGUAGUC